Molecule: non-coding RNA, 516 nt
Filed under: Pongo abelii (Sumatran orangutan)
Lineage: Eukaryota; Metazoa; Chordata; Mammalia; Primates; Hominidae
Source: RNAcentral
GCACGGAAAGAUGGCCCUGCCCUCAAGGAGCUGCAGUCUGCCCAGGAAGGCAGACAGAUAAACUGCUAUAGUUUUCCACUACUGAGCUGAAUUUCGUAUCACCAUCAAAAGUUACCUACCUACAAGUCCCUAGUAGAGAAAAUUUAACUUCUGGCUUUAAAAAAGGGACAGAAAAGCAGGCAGAUCUGCAAGUAAGCAAACUAUAGCUCCCCCCAGGAGACACACAGGCAGUGGGUAAGAGGAACAGACCCAUGGCUCCACUAAAGACACAGAGCAGCAGACGAAAAAGACAUGUCCUAAAUGUUAAAUAAAUGUGACAGAAUGAUACCAGGUGACUUCUAAGACUACAUCAUACAAAGCAACACAGCUUCUGCUGGGCUCUCCCUCUCUGGACACGUGUCUUUGAAGCCCUGAGCUGCCAGAUUAAACAGUCCGGCUUGCCUAAAGUCACCAUGCUGGAGACACCAUCAGGGAUGGAGAGGUGCUACAGAAGCCCUAGCUAUUCUAGUCCCCAGC